GAAAUGCGAUAAGUAAUGUGAAUUGCAGAAUUCAGUGAAUCAUCGAAUCUUUGAACGCACCUUGCGCUCCUUGGUAUUCCUUGGAGCAUGCCUGUUUGAGUAUCAUGAAAUCUUCAAAGUAAAUCUUUUGUUAACUCAAUUGGUUUCUACUUUGGUAUUGGAGGUGUUUGCAGCUUCACACCUGCUCCUCUUUGUUCAUUAGCUGGAUCUCAGUGUUAUGCUUGGUUCCACUCGGCGUGAUAAGUUAUCUAUCGCUGAGGACACUGUAAAAGGUGGCCAAGGUAAAUGCAGAUGAACCGCUUCUAAUAGUCCAUUGACUUGGACAAUACUUUUAUGAUCUGAUCUCAAAUCAGGUAGGACUACCCGCUGAACUUAAGC
Molecule: unclassified non-coding RNA, 378 nt
Filed under: plant metagenome
Description: partial contains 5.8S ribosomal RNA, internal transcribed spacer 2, and large subunit ribosomal RNA
Rfam family: 5.8S ribosomal RNA (bases 1-105)
Source: RNAcentral